RNAcentral lists this ribosomal RNA (730 nucleotides) under uncultured eukaryote. Its description in RNAcentral is "SSU rRNA". It matches the Rfam family "Eukaryotic small subunit ribosomal RNA", at positions 670 to 1426 of the family's 1831-position model. The record is from RNAcentral.
CGCGUGCACUGGUCCGGCCGGGCCUUUCCCUCUGCGGAACCCCAUGCCCUUCACUGGGUGUGGCGGGGAAACAGGACUUUUACUUUGAAAAAAUUAGAGUGCUCAAGGCAGGCCUAUGCUCGAAUACAUUAGCAUGGAAUAAUAGAAUAGGACGUGUGGUUCUAUUUUGUUGGUUUCUAGGACCGCCGUAAUGAUUAAUAGGGACAGUCGGGGGCAUCAGUAUUCAAUUGCCAGAGGUGAAAUUCUUGGAUUUAUUGAAGACUAACUACUGCGAAAGCAUUUGCCAAGGAUGUUUUCAUUAAUCAGGAACGAAAGUUAGGGGAUCGAAGACGAUCAGAUACCGUCGUAGUCUUAACCAUAAACUAUGCCGACUAGGGAUCGGACGAUGUUACAUUUUUGACGCGUUCGGCACCUUACGAGAAAUCAAAGUGCUUGGGCUCCAGGGGGAGUAUGGUCGCAAGGCUGAAACUUAAAGAAAUUGACGGAAGGGCACCACCAGGGGUGGAGCCUGCGGCUUAAUUUGACUCAACACGGGGAAACUCACCAGGUCCAGACACAAUGAGGAUUGACAGAUUGAGAGCUCUUUCUUGAUUUUGUGGGUGGUGGUGCAUGGCCGUUCUUAGUUGGUGGAGUGAUUUGUCUGCUUAAUUGCGAUAACGAACGAGACCUUAACCUGCUAAAUAGCCCGUAUUGCUUUGGCAGUACGCUGACUUCUUAGAGGGACUAUCGG